AGUGAAGCGGCAACAGCUCAAAUUUGAAAUCUGGCCUCGGCCCGAGUUGUAAUUUGCAGAGGAUGCUUUUGGUGCGGUGCCUUCCGAGUUCCCUGGAACGGGACGCCACAGAGGGUGAGAGCCCCGUAUGGUCGGACACCAAUCCUGUGUAAAGCUCCUUCGACGAGUCGAGUAGUUUGGGAAUGCUGCUCUAAAUGGGAGGUAAAUCUCUUCUAAAGCUAAAUACCGGCCAGAGACCGAUAGCGCACAAGUAGAGUGAUCGAAAGAUGAAAAGCACCUUGAAAAGGGGGUUAAACAGUACGUGAAAUUGUUGAAAGGGAAGCACUUGUGACCAGACUUGGGCCGGGCGGCUCAUCAGGGGUUCUCCCCUGUGCAUUCCGCCCGGUACAGGCCAGCAUCGGUUCUUACCGGGGGAUAAGAACGGCAGGAACGUGGCUCCCUCUCGGGGGAGUGUUAUAGCCUGCCGUACGAUACCCUGGCGGGGACCGAGGUUCGCGCUUCCGCAAGGAUGCUGGCGUAAUGGUUACUAGUGACCCGUCUUGAAACACGGACCAAGGAGUCGUCCAUUAGAGCGAGCGUUUGGGUGUAAAACCCGCACGCGUAAUGAAAGUGAAAUUAGGUGAGAGCUUCGGCGCAUCAUCGACCGAUCCUGAUGUUCUCGGAUGGAUUUGAGUAAGAGUUUUAACGGACGGACCCGAAAGACAGUGAACUAUGCUUGUAUAGGGUGAAGCCAGAGGAAACUCUGGUGGAGGCUCGCAGCGGUUCUGACGUGCAAAUCGAU
Molecule: ribosomal RNA, 781 nt
Filed under: Tubakia californica
Lineage: Eukaryota; Fungi; Ascomycota; Sordariomycetes; Diaporthales; Tubakiaceae
Description: eukaryotic LSU rRNA
Rfam family: Eukaryotic large subunit ribosomal RNA
Source: RNAcentral